Molecule: ribosomal RNA, 497 nt
Filed under: uncultured bacterium
Lineage: Bacteria
Description: partial 16S ribosomal RNA
Rfam family: Bacterial small subunit ribosomal RNA
Source: RNAcentral
GAUGAACGCUGGCGGCGUGCCUAAUACAUGCAAGUCGAGCGAACAGACGAGGAGCUUGCUCCUCUGACGUUAGCGGCGGACGGGUGAGUAACACGUGGAUAACCUACCUAUAAGACUGGGAUAACUUCGGGAAACCGGAGCUAAUACCGGAUAAUAUAUUGAACCGCAUGGUUCAAUAGUGAAAGACGGUUUUGCUGUCACUUAUAGAUGGAUCCGCGCCGGAUUAGCUAGUUGGUAAGGUAACGGCUUACCAAGGCGACGAUGCGUAGCCGACCUGAGAGGGUGAACGGCCACACUGGAACUGAGACACGGUCCAGACUCCUACGGGAGGCAGCAGUAGAGAAUCUUCCGCAAUGGGCGAAAGCCUGACGGAGCAACGCCGCGUGAGUGAUGAAGGUCUUCGGAUCGUAAAACUCUGCUAUUAGGGAAGAACAAAUGUGUAAGUAACUAUGCACGUCUUGACGGUACCUAAUCAGAAAGCCACGGCUAACUACGUG